RNAcentral lists this unclassified non-coding RNA (349 nucleotides) under Hevea brasiliensis (rubber tree). Lineage: Eukaryota; Viridiplantae; Streptophyta; Magnoliopsida; Malpighiales; Euphorbiaceae. The record is from RNAcentral.
AUUUGACCCCACUGAGUUCAAGGAUUCAAAUUCAGAGUUACCAGUGCCGAGUUUAGUAAGCCCAUUUCCUGCUAGGGUUAUGCCUUCUGCGAUGUUGAGCAAAGUGUGGCUUCCUCCUUUACUUUGCAACGCAAGAAGGUUUGGAGAAGCUAAGGGUAUUAUAGUAAAUACGUUUUUGGAGUUGGAAUCCCAUGCUAUAGAAUCUUUUAAAACGCUUCCCGUGUACCCCGUGGGACCCAUUUUGAAUGUGGAGUCGAAUGGAAGAAACACGCACCAGCAAAUCAUGCAAUGGCUUGAUGAUCAGCCUGUUGCAUCAGUAGUGUUCUUGUGCUUUGGAAGCAUGGGAAGU